UAAUACGGGGGGUGCGAGCGUUGUCCGGAAUCACUGGGCGUAAAGGGCGCGUAGGUGGUUUGAUAAGGGUGUGGUGAAAGUCCGGGGCUCAACCCCGGAUCUGCCGUGCCGACUGUCAAACUCGAGGGCUGUAGAGGCAGGCGGAAUUCCGGGUGUAGCGGUGGAAUGCGUAGAGAUCCGGAGGAAGACCGGUGGCGAAGGCGGCCUGCUGGGCAGUUUCUGACACUGAUGCGCGACAGCGUGGGGAGCAAACAGGAUUAGAUACCCUGGUAGUC
RNAcentral lists this ribosomal RNA (275 nucleotides) under uncultured bacterium. RNAcentral's name for it is "partial 16S ribosomal RNA". It matches the Rfam family "Bacterial small subunit ribosomal RNA", at positions 521 to 795 of the family's 1533-position model. The record is from RNAcentral.